This 253-nucleotide ribosomal RNA is filed under the name uncultured bacterium. RNAcentral describes it as "partial 16S ribosomal RNA". It matches the Rfam family "Bacterial small subunit ribosomal RNA", at positions 524 to 776 of the family's 1533-position model. The record is from RNAcentral.
UACGGAGGAUCCAAGCGUUAUCCGGAUUUAUUGGGUUUAAAGGGUGCGUAGGCGGCCUAUUAAGUCAGGGGUGAAAGACGGUAGCUUAACUAUCGCAGUGCCUUUGAUACUGAUGGGCUUGAAUGUACUUGAGGUAGGCGGAAUGUGACAAGUAGCGGUGAAAUGCAUAGAUAUUGGGAAGAACACCGGUGGCGAAGGCGGCUCACUGGCUCGUAACUGACGCUCAUGCACGACAGCGUGGGGAUCAAACAGG